UCCGUCUUGCGACGGCAGUUCCGCUAGAGUGAUACAACUAGCAGUAGGGGUUGCGCUCGUUAACCCACUUAAGGGUACGCCUCACGGUACGAGCUGACAACAGCCAUGCAACACCUGUGCAGCACUCUCGAAGAAGCUCUACUUUCGUAGAGUUAGCAGCUGCAUGUCAAACCUGGGUAAGGUUCUUGGGUUAGCAGCCAAUUGAAGAGCAUGCUCCACCGCUUGUGCGGGUCCCCGCCAAUUCCUUUGAGUUUUAGCCUUGCGGCCGUACUUCCCAGGCGGCCUGCUUAACGCGUUAGCUUCGACACCCAACAAAAGCCAGGUAUCCAGCAGGCAUAGUUUACAGCGUGGACUA
Molecule: unclassified non-coding RNA, 355 nt
Filed under: uncultured bacterium
Lineage: Bacteria
Description: contains 16S-23S intergenic spacer region
Source: RNAcentral